RNAcentral lists this non-coding RNA (23 nucleotides) under Arabidopsis thaliana (thale cress). RNAcentral also lists the same sequence under 1 other name. The record is from RNAcentral. Lineage: Eukaryota; Viridiplantae; Streptophyta; Magnoliopsida; Brassicales; Brassicaceae.
UCUCUUAAGGUAGCCAAAUGCCU